Molecule: ribosomal RNA, 399 nt
Filed under: uncultured bacterium
Lineage: Bacteria
Description: partial 16S ribosomal RNA
Rfam family: Bacterial small subunit ribosomal RNA
Source: RNAcentral
AUUGCGCAAUGGAGGAAACUCUGACGCAGCAACGCCGCGUGAAGGAUGAGGGUUUUCGGAUUGUAAACUUCUUUGAUGAGGUACGAAACAAAUGACGGUACCUCAAAAACAAGCCACGGCUAACUACGUGCCAGCAGCCGCGGUAAUACGUAGGUGGCGAGCGUUGUCCGGAAUUACUGGGUGUAAAGGGCGUGUAGGCGGGGAUGUAAGUCAGAUGUGAAAUGACGAGGCUUAACUUCGGAGCUGCAUCUGAAACUACGUUUCUUGAGUGUCGGAGAGGAAAGCGGAAUUCCCAGUGUAGCGGUGAAAUGCGUAGAUAUUGGGAGGAACACCAGUGGCGAAGGCGGCUUUCUGGACGAUAACUGACGCUGAGGCGCGAAAGCGUGGGGAGCAAACAGG